Quercus robur (English oak) is the source of this 783-nucleotide long non-coding RNA. RefSeq lists it as uncharacterized. Lineage: Eukaryota; Viridiplantae; Streptophyta; Magnoliopsida; Fagales; Fagaceae. The transcript is spliced from 6 exons. The record is from RefSeq and is a predicted model, not a curated record.
CUUUUAAACGCGUUUUUUUUUAGGGUGAAAAGAUCAAUAAUGUUUGAAUGUGAAGAAACACACACACGCAUCUUACUAAGACAAGCUCACAGGUACAGUUUUGAAAAGUACAGGACUAUCAAUCCCGAACUGUUUCGUUUAAUAUCUUCUUUGAAUUCGUUUGAAGUAAUGCAAUUUCUCUCUAAAAUGAGGAAAAUAAAUAAGUUUCUUGAUUACAAGAAAGGUGGAAAAAGCUUCAAUGCAGAGUAAAGAUGUAUUUGACCCUCAUGGAUAUGACAAAAGCGACUGCUAUUUUGAAAUAGAAGCUGAUAUGAGACGCGAGGAACUAGAAAAGAAGAAGAAUCCAAAGGUUGAUUUUGUUUCUGGAGGAACACAACCUGUAACAGUUGUGUCUGCACCAAAAAGUUAUCAUACCUAUAGGUGUUUCAUCUGCAGCUGCCACUGGUCUGCUACCUGUGCCACCUGCAGCUGAUACCACUACUAGGGACGGUAGACAGAACAAGAAAUCUAAGUGGGAUAAGGUGGAUGGGGAUCGAAGGAAUCCUUUGCCCUGCGGGGGGCAAGAUUCUAUUUCUGUAGUUGGGGCUCAUGCAGCACUCUUGUCUGCUAAUGCUGUUGCAGGAUACAUGGCUUUUGCGAAAGUGUCCUUAACACAGGAUGCCUCAUAAUCAUCCUGUACAAUAUUUUUUGCAAUAUUUAAUAAAAUCUUAUUAAAAAAACAAUAUAUUAAUGAUAAACUCUUUCUCCCAGUAUUUAUGCAUGAUGAUUCUAACUUGUGUGUUA